This 76-nucleotide transfer RNA is filed under the name Burkholderiales bacterium. Its description in RNAcentral is "tRNA-Phe". It matches the Rfam family "tRNA". From Rfam's summary of the family: Transfer RNA (tRNA) molecules are approximately 80 nucleotides in length. Lineage: Bacteria; Pseudomonadati; Pseudomonadota; Betaproteobacteria; Burkholderiales. The record is from RNAcentral. RNAcentral also lists the same sequence under 4 other names.
GGCCAGGUAGCUCAGUUGGUAGAGCAGAGGACUGAAAAUCCUUGUGUCGGCGGUUCGAUUCCGUCCCUGGCCACCA